This 372-nucleotide ribosomal RNA is filed under the name Hapalomantis congica katangica. Its description in RNAcentral is "partial 12S ribosomal RNA". Lineage: Eukaryota; Metazoa; Arthropoda; Insecta; Mantodea; Nanomantidae. The record is from RNAcentral.
AUACCCUAUUAUUUUGAACGUAAAAUGUGGAAGCCAGAGUAUUAUUAGAUAAUACUUGAAACUUAAAGAAUUUGGCGGUAUUAUAUUCUAUUUAGAGGAAUCUGUUAUGUAAUCGAUAAUCCUCGUUGAACCUUACUUAAAUUAUUUCUUGUAUACCGCUGUUUAAUGAAUCUACUUUUAGGUUAAUUUUCUUAAUAAAAUAUUAAUUAGGAUUUCAAGUCAAGGUGCAGUAAUAUAUAAGACGAAUAAUGGGUUACAAUAAAUUUUAUUUAAACGGAUAUUUUUUGUUAUAAGAAUUUGAAGGUGGAUUUAAUUGUAAUUUAUCUAAGAUUAGAUAAAUGAUUUUAGCCCUAUAAUAUGUACACAUCGCCC